AAAAAAAAAAUCAGAAUCUACUUUUUCUUGGGGGAUAACGUAGGGAAACUUACGCUAAUACCUCAUACGACCUACGGGUGAAAGCAGGUGAUCUUCGGACCUUGCGCGAUUGAAUGAUCCGAUGUCGGAUUAGCUCGUUGGCGGGGUAAAGGCCCACCCAGGCGACGAUCCGUAGCUGGUCUGAGAGGAUGAUAAGCCAAACGGGAAGUGAGACAAGGUACAGAAUACUACUGGAGGCAGCAGUGGGGAAUAUUGGACAAUGGGCGCAAGCCGGAUACAGCCAUACCGCGGGGGUGAAUUAUGUUUUUAAUGAG
Molecule: ribosomal RNA, 314 nt
Filed under: uncultured bacterium
Lineage: Bacteria
Description: partial 16S ribosomal RNA
Rfam family: Bacterial small subunit ribosomal RNA
Source: RNAcentral